UACACUUUAGUAUAAGAGGUAUUGGAGCUUUUGGUGCUUUAGGAGUUAGUUAGAUUCUAACAAGUGUAG
This 69-nucleotide transfer RNA is filed under the name Jebusaea hammerschmidtii. RNAcentral's name for it is "tRNA-Gln". The record is from RNAcentral. Lineage: Eukaryota; Metazoa; Arthropoda; Insecta; Coleoptera; Cerambycidae.